CUCGCAAAUCCUGCACCUCUCCUCCACUCUCCCUCAUUUGCAGGUUGGUUCCUUGAGAAACCCCCAAAUCUCCAUUUCUUUUUCCAACAAGUCUUGCAUCGAACAUGAAUCACAUCUAAAACCAGCAGCAAAACACAAAGAUUCAGAGGGGAAAGGGGAGGCGAACAGCAGCGAUGAACGUGGCGGCGCGUGAGAGGAAAAGCAGUGGUGGAUCGGAACCUCGCGAGGGAGAACGGUGGGUCGUGGCGGCGCGAGAGGAGCAGCGAGAGGACGCGGCGCAACAGAUCCAACGACGUGUGUGGCGGUGGCUAGCAGAGGAGCGUGGUGGAGGCGAUUUAGAAGGAAGGAAGGAGGAAGGGAGGUGGUGAUGGUGGUGCAGCCAUGGGAGAGAAAGGGAGUGGCCACUGGUUCGUCCUCCUCCAACGGCCCCAACCCUAACGCAGCAGCAGAGGAGUUAAGACCAGCUUGCUGGAAAAGGAACCGGUUGAUUUUUGGCCUCUUAUUCUUGAUUUCCCUCAUAUUUGUUACCUCUGAUUCACAACUUCUCUCUCGCAGGAAGCUCCUCACCGAAGCCACAAUGUCUACUACCUCACGCAGGCUUCUCCCAAUCCAAUUCUACUACCUAUUUGCACUGCAAUAUAUCCCCCCCUGAGAAAGACACUUUCCAGUUCUGCAGCAAGCAAAGAAACAAUCAUGGCAGCUCCAACAGAUUUUUUGGAUCCAAGACAGCGCCCCCAAUAAUAAAGAUCCCAUGAUCAGCAAUCUAAUGUGGAUGCCCUUUCGAGUUAGCAACAAGCAACUUUGGGCGAAAUGUAGACAGAAUGGAGUAUAAUGAUAUAGAAGUUUCAUUUUCUUCCUCAGCACCUUAUGCUUCAGAGUCAAAUUCUGGAUUGAGAUUUUAGUUGCAUAAAGGUUAGAAAAAUUUGUAGAGCCCUUUUUUUCCCUUCCUUUUUCAAUGCUUAAUGUUAUCUUGAAUUCUAUCUUGCAAUUAUUGUAUUUUAUUUUAGACUUUAUCCCAAGGCUAAGGCAACAAUUCAGAGUUGGUGUUUUGAGAAACGAAAAUUUCAUAGUGGAAUAUAUAGUAUGUAGGUUUUAGCAAGCACAUAAAAUCUAAGAUUGUGUCAACUUUGAGCAAUUACUUAUGUUCUUUUUCAAUAGAUAAUUCCUAUGUUAGCUAGAAUGUUGCAAUUUUCAUUGCUUUAUUUUAAUGGUAACAGGGGGGCACAUUGGGAAGUCUUGUUGGGGUGUUUUUCUUUGUAUUGUAUUGGUGAAGCAAGUAAAUUUGUGGUGGUAGUGAUUCUAGUUGAAGGAAAUAGAACUUCCUGGGCUCUUGAGUCCCAAGAAUAUGUCUUCAGAC
Long non-coding RNA from Lotus japonicus, 1357 nucleotides. RefSeq lists it as uncharacterized. NCBI's taxonomy places the organism in Eukaryota, Viridiplantae, Streptophyta, Magnoliopsida, Fabales, Fabaceae. The transcript has 3 exons. The record is from RefSeq and is a predicted model, not a curated record.